UGUGUCGGCGCUGGAGGUUGUGUCCUUCCUGGGGAAACUGCUGUGCGCAGUCGCGGCGCUGAAGGCGGCUCUCUACCUGCUCCGCAGAGUCUGUCUAGCGAUGGCCUGGAAGUCAGGAGGCGCCAGUCACUCGGAGCUCAUCCAGAACCUCCGCAAAAAUGGAAUAAUCAAAUCAGAUAAAGUAUUUGAAGUCAUGCUUGCAACAGACCGAAGCCACUAUGCAAAAUGCAACCCAUAUAUGGAUUCCCCUCAGUCAAUAGGAUUUCAAGCAACUAUAAGUGCUCCACAUAUGCAUGCGUAUGCUCUAGAACUACUAUAUGAACAGUUACACGAAGGAGCCAAAGCCCUUGACGUAGGAUCUGGAAGUGGUAUUCUUACUGCAUGCUUUGCACGGAUGGUUGGCUCCAAAGGAAAAGUUGUAGGAAUUGAUCAUAUCAAAGAGCUAGUAGAUGACUCAAUAAAUAAUGUCAAAAAGGACGAUCCUCUAUUGCUGUCUUCAGGAAGAGUGAAACUGAUUGUGGGGGAUGGGAGACUGGGAUAUCCAGAUGAGGCUCCAUAUGAUGCUAUUCAUGUAGGCGCUGCUGCACCCAUUGUGCCACAAGCACUUAUAGAUCAAUUAAAGCCUGGUGGAAGAUUAAUAUUACCUGUGGGCCCUGCUGGAGGAAACCAGAUGCUGGAGCAGUAUGAUAAGCUAGAAGAUGGCAGUGUCAAAAUGAAGCCUCUGAUGGGAGUGAUAUAUGUGCCUUUAACAGAUAAGGAGAAGCAGUGGUCCAGCCUUUUGUGCAGGUACCAAGAGUAAUUGGACCAUAAUCACAAAUGAAUCUCUACAGUAGAUGAUCUACAGAGAGCUAAGGCAUUCACUACUUCAGAUAAAAAGGGAUGAAAUGUAAAAGCUACAUCAUCUGACCCAAAUAUAGUGUUAACAGUGGACUGCUCAUCUCCAGUUCUUAAAAGCUUUUUCAAAACCAACAGCAUUGCAGCUUGUUUUGGACUUUGUUACACUGUUAUCAGCAUGGAAAAGUGUGGUAUUUUUAUUUUGUAGAAGUUUAAUGCAAGUUUGAUAAUGAACUGAUGGAAAAUUCAUAUUUGGGUAAAUGUUGCUUUUCAACAUGCCCAAGUGAAAUAUGUCUACAGAAAUGCAGAUAAAUCUGCAAUUUAUCACUUUCUUUUAUUUUUGGAUUUGGAUUAGGAAACUUUUUGAACACUUAUUUCAGCUCCAGUGUUCAUCCAUCAAACUGCUUAUCUGCACUUUCUGACACUACAUGCACACUAUAAGGUUCUUUGUGUUCAGCUGUCUUCUAGAUGCUACUAAAAUGAGAUGAAGUUCUUCAAAGCUGUCAACGUGGUGUCAUAGACUAGCAUGUAGUAUAUACAAUCAGCUGCUUUCUUCCCUUUUAAAAAUCAGGCAUCGUGUAUAUAAAUUUCAAGACAUCAGAAGUUACAGCUCUUGUUGUACAUGCUGCUGUUCAGGAUGGACAUAACGGACAUAGUUCUCUCUCUCACACACUUUCUUUGUUGAAUAACAUAGAGAUUCAUAGUUGAAUAUUGUUUCUAGCUGACUUGCAAACUUGAUGUACCUAAACUUAAUAUAACAAAUACUGUGUAAGCUAUGUCCUAAUCAUUGAACAGUUAUGCAGUGCUGCUUUGCCAAAUAAAAUUAAAAAUAAAA
Varanus komodoensis (Komodo dragon) is the source of this 1669-nucleotide RNA transcript. It is a transcript of the gene named protein-L-isoaspartate (D-aspartate) O-methyltransferase, with no coding region annotated. The transcript has 9 exons. NCBI's taxonomy places the organism in Eukaryota, Metazoa, Chordata, Lepidosauria, Squamata, Varanidae. The record is from RefSeq and is a predicted model, not a curated record.